GGUGAACGCUGGCGGUAGGCCUAACACAUGCAAGUCGAACGGCAGCACAGUAAGAGCUUGCUCUUACGGGUGGCGAGUGGCGGACGGGUGAGGAAUACAUCGGAAUCUACUUUUUCGUGGGGGAUAACGUAGGGAAACUUACGCUAAUACCGCAUACGACCUACGGGUGAAAGCAGGGGAUCUUCGGACCUUGCGCGAUUGAAUGAGCCGAUGUCGGAUUAGCUAGUUGGCGGGAUAAAGGCCCACCAAGGCGACGAUCCGUAGCUGGUCUGAGAGGAUGAUCAGCCACACUGGAACUGAGACACGGUCCAGACUCCUACGGGAGGCAGCAGUGGGGAAUAUUGGACAAUGGGCGCAAGCCUGAUCCAGCCAUACCGCGUGGGUGAAGAAGGCCUUCGGGUUGUAAAGCCCUUUUGUUGGGAAAGAAAAGCAGCAGGUUAAUACCCCGCUGUUCUGACGGUACCCAAAGAAUAAGCACCGGCUAACUUCGUG
RNAcentral lists this ribosomal RNA (492 nucleotides) under uncultured bacterium. RNAcentral describes it as "partial 16S ribosomal RNA". It matches the Rfam family "Bacterial small subunit ribosomal RNA", at positions 28 to 507 of the family's 1533-position model. The record is from RNAcentral.